Molecule: long non-coding RNA, 1469 nt
Organism: Symsagittifera roscoffensis
Lineage: Eukaryota; Metazoa; Xenacoelomorpha; Acoela; Convolutidae
Exons: 3
Source: RefSeq, a predicted model, not a curated record
AACUAGAUAAAGGUCACAAUUGAUAUCUAAAUCUAAAUUUCUAGCUAAAGUCAUGCUCGCAUCAUAAUAAUUGAAGUAUCAGGGAAUUGUCGCAGUUGUAUAUUUCUUCGAACUAUCUGGGUAAAGGUCACAGUUGCAACUUUUCUUGGAUUAUCUUCAAAAAUAAAUGUCUUAAUUGCACCCUAAUUUACAAAAUCAAGUUAACGGUCGUCUCAGUUAACAUCUAACUUACAAUAUUUAGCUAAACGUCAUGCUUCCAACAAAAUAUUUAAAAAAUCAGGUAAAGAUUAUAAAUGCAGGAUAUCGAUGAAACGCCCUCUAACCUUGUAACGAAGCGGCUCGAAUGUCGGCAAACUUCGGGUUUGCAGGGCAGGUUUUCAAAUGUGAACUAGAUGAGUUUACCUGGAGCUGAAAGAAAGAUGCACCAAUACGCAAACCUUGGUAUUCGUGAACAACAUUAUGAUGUCAGUAAUAUUUAUUACCUUAUUAUUUGUACUAAUAAAAUUUCGACAGGUCACUGGCUUAUUGACAUGCAAAUAUGGCACAUUUCAAACUAUCCACAGCCCACUUUAUAUCAAUUUAUGGAAAACCAUUUGCAAAUCGCGCGUUAAUCAAUCAAACUUGACCUAUAAGCAAUUAAGAAGGUGACAUAGUCAAUGUUUGUUUUAGAAUUUCCCUAAUAAUACUAUCAACUAAAAUCAUAACUUCUGAUUACAAGCCAGAUUUCAGUUUGAACUGCAUCAAACUCAUAUUCACUCAGGCUUUUCAUAACUUUUGUGAAGUCAAAUCUGCACUUUUGCUUUAGUUUUGUCCAAAUUUUAUUUGAUCUGUUUAUCUGUUUUGACAAAACUCAAUUUAUCGACCCAUUUACUCGAUAUCUUUCUUUAGAUUCACUCGCCGUCUAGUAAGUUUAACCCGGUCAACUCAUAAGUGAUAUAAUUUAUUUUAACCCAUUUAGAACUCGGCAAGCUCAGUUUGUUGUGUUUCACCAAAAACUAUCUGCAAUAAGGACUGCUCUGCAAAAAUGGACUCGCAAGGAUCUUCUGAAGCUACUGUUUCGACCAUGAUCGGAGUUUUUCACUACACCUGAGAAUAUUUGUGAACGCCCCCCCGACCAAUAAAUGCUCCCAGACGAUGGGGGGAGGAGGAGGAGGGGGAGGAGUUAUAUACCCCCGACUACAAACUUUGAUAGAAAAAGUGCAAAAAAGAAUGGCAAUCUGAAUGAAAUUGGAAUUUCAAACAAAUCAGGAACAGGAGAAUUGUAAUCAAAUCGAUGCAGUUAAAAUCAAAUUUUUCCAUUUGGGAAAAAACGUUGAUUGUUGUAAUUAAUUAUUUUCGAGGAUAAUAAUAAAAGGUUUUCAUGAUGCUAAGCAGGGAUUAAUUAUUUUGUACAUUACUAUUCAUAUCGUAUGAAUAAUCUCAAUUGCUGUAACUUUACUCUUAUGUAAUUAAUUGUAUUUUGAAAAACA